CUUGGUAGCUGGACUGAAACCGUUGUGUGGGUUAAAGGGGCAAUCUACAGUUCAAACUAUAACACAGUGACACCCUGCCACUGUUUCGGUAAAAAGCUGAGGGAAAGGGGAAACUCAUACAAAGCUAUGGAUGUAAGGAAUGACCAUGCAUGAUAUCAAUAUAAUAUAAAUAUAUAUUUUUUUAAAUAUACAGUUUGUGUUUACAAUGACAUUGUUCACAAACAAUGGAGUAAAACAAGCAUUAUGUUGGGUUCUGAUGGGGUACAACAGUUGAAGUAAGAUCAUGAGUAAGGUAGUGGUUAGGUCUACUAGUUACUGGCAGUGGUUAGGUCUACUAGUUACCGGCAGUGGUUAGGUCUACUAGUUACCGGCAGUGGUUAGGUCUACUAGUUACUGGCAGUGGUUAGGUCUACUAGUUACCGGCAGUGGUUAGGUCUACUAGUUACCGGCAGUGGUUAGGUCUACUAGUUACCGGCAGUGGUUAGGUCUACUAGUUACCGGCAGUGGUUAGGUCUACUAGUUACCGGCAGUGGUUAG
Oncorhynchus tshawytscha (Chinook salmon) is the source of this 537-nucleotide long non-coding RNA. The record is from Ensembl. Lineage: Eukaryota; Metazoa; Chordata; Actinopteri; Salmoniformes; Salmonidae.